CAAGGAGGCAGCAGGCGCGCAAAUACCCACUCCCGGCACGGGGAGGUAGUGACGAAAAAUAACGAUACGGGACUCAUCCGAGGCCCCGUAAUCGGAAUGAGUACACUUUAAAUCCUUUAACGAGGAUCAAUUGGAGGGCAAGUCUGGUGCCAGCAGCCGCGGUAAUUCCAGCUCCAAUAGCGUAUAUUAAAGUUGUUGCGGUUAAAAAGCUCGUAGUCGAAUUUGUGUCGUGCGCCGCCGGUUCAUCGCUCGCGGUGUCAACUGGCGUGUCGCAGGACGUCCUGCCGGUGGAUUUAGCUCGUCGCGUGGUCGCACUCCUAACCGGGUCGGUCGCGUGCGGGCGGUCCAACUUCAACAAUCCCAUCGCGGUGCUCUUCGCUGAGUGUCGAGGUGGGCCGGCACGUUUACUUUGAACAAAUUAGAGUGCUUAAAGCAGGCUAAAAACUCGCCUGAAUACUGUGUGCAUGGAAUAAUGGAAUAGGACCUCGGUUCUAUUUUGUUGGUUUUCGGAACCCCGAGGUAAUGAUUAAUAGGAACGGAUGGGGGCAUUCGUAUUGCGACGUUAGAGGUGAAAUUCUUGGAUCGUCGCAAGACGAACUUAAGCGAAAGCAUUUGCCAAAAACGUUUUCAUUGAUCAAGAACGAAAGUUAGAGGUUCGAAGGCGAUCAGAUACCGCCCUAGUUCUAACCAUAAACGAUGCCAGCUAGCGAUCCGCCGACGUUCCUCCGAUGACUCGGCGGGCAGCUUCCGGGAAACCAAAGCUUUUGGGUUCCGGGGGAAGU
RNAcentral lists this ribosomal RNA (782 nucleotides) under Pachycraerus sp. MSC-2013. RNAcentral's name for it is "SSU rRNA". It matches the Rfam family "Eukaryotic small subunit ribosomal RNA", at positions 417 to 1124 of the family's 1831-position model. The record is from RNAcentral. Lineage: Eukaryota; Metazoa; Arthropoda; Insecta; Coleoptera; Histeridae.